Molecule: long non-coding RNA, 278 nt
Filed under: Bos mutus (wild yak)
Lineage: Eukaryota; Metazoa; Chordata; Mammalia; Artiodactyla; Bovidae
Description: lncRNA (ENSBMUG00000017710.1)
Source: RNAcentral
CUUCCUUUAUGCAUCUGGCAAAGACAUGCUCUGAGGCCCUUCCAGCACGUACACUGCUGUCUUUCCUGAUCCACUCCAGCUUCCCAAGAAACACUGGAGAUGAAUAAAUGAUUCACCACGUGGCCAGGACUGCAGCCCUUUCUCUGGAAGAGAAUUCAAGCCCACUUUAUUUAAACCAAGGGGCUACAGACCUGGUGGUGGAGGUCUUCAACCACUGGAAUUCCCUUGGGAGACCAUUAGAAUGGUAUUUUUUUACCCUUUACUUGGCUAUGGGGUUC